This 237-nucleotide unclassified non-coding RNA is filed under the name plant metagenome. RNAcentral describes it as "partial contains small subunit ribosomal RNA, internal transcribed spacer 1, and 5.8S ribosomal RNA". The stretch from base 189 to 237 matches the Rfam family "5.8S ribosomal RNA", at positions 1 to 49 of the family's 154-position model. The record is from RNAcentral.
UCUCCGUAGGUGAACCUGCGGAGGGAUCAUUACAAGUGACCCCGGUCUCACCACCGGGAUGUUCAUAACCCUUUGUUGUCCGACUCUGUUGCCUCCGGGGCGACCCUGCCUUCGGGCGGGGGCUCCGGGUGGACACUUCAAACUCUUGCGUAACUUUGCAGUCUGAGUAAACUUAAUUAAUAAAUUAAAACUUUUAACAACGGAUCUCUUGGUUCUGGCAUCGACGAAGAACGCAGC